This 467-nucleotide ribosomal RNA is filed under the name uncultured Phascolarctobacterium sp. RNAcentral's name for it is "bacterial SSU rRNA". It matches the Rfam family "Bacterial small subunit ribosomal RNA", at positions 337 to 796 of the family's 1533-position model. The record is from RNAcentral. Lineage: Bacteria; Bacillati; Bacillota; Negativicutes; Acidaminococcales; Acidaminococcaceae.
UCCUACGGGAGGCAGCAGUGGGGAAUCUUCCGCAAUGGACGAAAGUCUGACGGAGCAACGCCGCGUGAGUGAUGAAGGAUUUCGGUCUGUAAAGCUCUGUUGUUUAUGACGAACGUGCAUUGUGUGAACAAUGCAUUGCAAUGACGGUAGUAAACGAGGAAGCCACGGCUAACUACGUGCCAGCAGCCGCGGUAAUACGUAGGUGGCGAGCGUUGUCCGGAAUUAUUGGGCGUAAAGAGCAUGUAGGCGGGUUAAUAAGGCGAGCGUGAAAAUGCGGGGCUCAAGCCCGUAUGGAGCUGGAAACUGUUAGGCUUGAGUGCAGGAGAGGAAAGGGGAAUUCCCAGUGUAGCGGUGAAAUGCGUAGAUAUUGGGAGGAACACCAGUGGCGAAGGCGCCUUUCUGGACUGUGUCUGACGCUGAGAUGCGAAAGCCAGGGUAGCGAACGGGAUUAGAUACCCCAGUAGUCG